Molecule: long non-coding RNA, 1472 nt
Organism: Cervus elaphus (red deer)
Lineage: Eukaryota; Metazoa; Chordata; Mammalia; Artiodactyla; Cervidae
Exons: 2
Source: RefSeq, a predicted model, not a curated record
AAAAUAAAACUAUUCACAGUUCCAGACUUUAAUACUCGGUUGCCAACAGUAAAGAACUGGGAUCAGCUUCCUAUACAUUAGAUGUAGAGCAAUAUGUUUACAAAAUUAAAAGUCACAUGAAUUCUUAGUGUUGCAAAACGUUCCUCAACGGUCAGAGGCAAUGGUUGCAAAACUGCAAACUGGUGAGCCAUGGAUUAGCUAUAACUUGAAGAAAAACAGAUAGUGGACCCUCAGCACUGCUGGAAAAUGGUAUUUCAUCAUGAAAAAAUCUGUUACAUCCGAACUAUCACAGAGAAGGGAUUUAAUAAAUUAAUCUGUGUUCUGUCUCUUUUAUGUUCUUUCAGUUCUCAAACCUCCCUAUCCUCUGAAGCAUCUACCUCUGAUGUCAGCAGUGACACAAUGAGAAACUCCUGGGGCAUCUGGAAGCUAGCUGCGACACUGUGUUUCAAUAAUGUGGGGCAACAGACUUGGAGAAACAUUUCCUGAGUCUGGGUGGGGUUGAUCAUGGGCGUGGAUGUUUAGAGUUACAAAUUGCUAAGGAGGCUGAGCGAUUUUUAACUUAACGACUUUCUUUUCCGGCCACAUGGGUCUUCCUUGCUUUCCUCGGCCUUUCUCUAGUUCGUAGUGAGCAGGGGCUGCUCUUGGUGGGGUGCUCAGGCUUCUCACUGUGCUGGUUUCUCUUGUGGAGUUCAAGCACAGGCUCAGCAGUGGUGGCCCCGGUUCUUAGCUGCUCUGGGGCAUGUGGAACCUUCCAGCACCAGGGAAGAUUCCAAACCCUGUUCUCUGCAUUGGCAGGCAGAUUCUUAUCCACUGCGCCACCAGGGAAGUCCCUGAGUGAUUUUUGUUAAAUUAAUUUUCAAGUUUUUGCCAAGUCUUUUUUUUCUUUUUUCCUUUUCUUCGUUGUAACUUCUCUGUAUUAAAAUGUUUUACCUUUCCCAGGCGGAUGCCCAAGGUGGCAGAGCGUUGGUCCUAGGCUGAUGGCCCUGUCCAUCUCCCUGGGCAACCAGACGCCCUUCCCGAUCAAGCAGGUACCGCUGGGCUGGGAGGUGGUGGACGUGUGCUGUGAGGGCACCAACAUUUCUGGCAGUUCUGCAGAAUCAAGGUAAAAUCCAGAUCUUCCUCUGCAAGUGGAUGAACACCAAUCUGUCCGCAACCGCUGCCUCUUCUGAGCCGCAUCUUUUGGAGGGUGCGUGGCAGGCCUUCCCCAAAACCAAGUGAUGCCAGGACACCCUGAGCCCUCAAGGUUGGCAGCGACAGCCCCGCUGGAGGAGAAGUAGAAGGAGUGUAGGGUAAGAUCGGUUACAGGAAGGAAGAACAGCUCACGAGGCUACGGAAACAGGCUGAAAAGAACGUGGAGCAGAAAACUGACGAACACGCAGACGUCCUCAAGACUUUCAGGGUCCUGAUCUGAGCCUAAUAAAGACUAUUUAUUUCUCAAAUGUCUAAAAAAUAAAAGUUCCUUAAUUCACUCA